RNAcentral lists this unclassified non-coding RNA (160 nucleotides) under soil metagenome. Its description in RNAcentral is "partial internal transcribed spacer 1". The record is from RNAcentral.
AAGAGACGUUGCCCUUCGGGGUAUACCUCCCACCCUUUGUUUAUUAUACCUUUGUUGCUUUGGCGGGCCCGUCCUCGGACCACCGGCUUCUGCUGGUCAGUGCCCGCCAGAGACCUAAAACUCUGUUUGUUAAUAUUGUCUGAGUACUAUAUAAUAGUUA